Molecule: long non-coding RNA, 2697 nt
Organism: Rhagoletis zephyria (snowberry fruit fly)
Lineage: Eukaryota; Metazoa; Arthropoda; Insecta; Diptera; Tephritidae
Source: RefSeq, a predicted model, not a curated record
AUAAAGCGCCGCAUGACGGCUCGACCGCUACCAAGCAAUAUAUGUAUAAACUAUUCAUGCUCUGCAAUUUUUAAAAAGGAAUGAGCAGCCUGUUAGCCUGUUUUAGCACAUUCCGUUGAAUUCCGAGCUGAACUGGUCUGUAUAUUCGUUAAUUCGAAAUUAUUACCAUUUGGUGCCUGAUAAUUUGGUAUUUCAUUUGACAUCAAAUAAUUGUGCAGAUAACAACAUGCUGCUGUUACCUUUGAAGCUAUCUCUGUUUGGAAAUGAGUUCGGCAAAGUAGAAAACCACGUUGUCCCAAAUAAGUCGAGUAAGUGUCUUCCACUUGUUUAUUGCUUCACGUUCUUGAAUAUUCUACCCCAAGAUCACCAGAUACUCCUUAUAUACAUACAUACAGAAGUAUAUGAGCACAAUACGUACAUAUGUGUUCUACUCCUAAGUACAUCAGCUAUAAAAACGUCUCGCUAGAGCGCGAACAAUAAUAAUACGCAUAAUAUGUAUGAUAAGCGAUGACAUUGAAAAAUGAACUCAUGUUGGUUGUAUUGGUGCAUCCAGCGGGUGUUGAUGAGCAGAUCUGAAUGUAAGUAUGUUCCUGUACUAACGAUGCCCAACGUUGCAUUUGACCAAUACCUUACUGUAACUCUUGAACAUCCUACCGGGCUGAACCCAUGCGGUUCAGUAAUUCUUUAGAUGGGCCUGUUAAUCGGCAUAAUUUCUGUACCGGCCGCUGACAUCGGUGUUUGGUAAAAAGUCCGUUCCAGGUUUUCUGGUUAGAAUUGUAUUCGAUGGUGACUACGCGAACCAAACCAUCACUGCCCGGAUGCACGUCGAUGACCCUUCCUAUGCGCCAAAAUGUUGGGGGGAGAUUCUUAUUCCGGAUGAGGACGACGUCGUCGCGCUGAAUGUUUGGCUCCGGUCUCGUCCAGACUGCAGGGUAUUUAGGUAUUCGCUUUGCCAGCGACGCCAAAAGUAUUCCAGCAUUCGGUGACGAAGUUGCCAAUAAUGCAAACGAUUCUCUGGAACUUCUGGUAAUAAAGGUUCCGGACGACAAUUCAACGGGCGGCCAAUAAUAAAAUCAUCGUAUAAAGCCAGCAAUGACCGUCAUUUGAGGCAGGCUGCUAUACGCGUCAAAAGAGUGUUAAGCUCGGGGAAGCGCAUUGUUUGACGACGACCCAUGACUCGCUGCUUCCCAAAGGCCACCGUGAUGAGGUGAGGAUGGUGUAAUAAACUUCCAGUGGGUUCCUACAGCCACCAAGUGUUGUUGUGCUUACACGUUCACCCAUGCCUGUAAAUCCUCCUGCAUUUGUCGAUUCGCACCAAUAAACUGAGUACCAUUAUCGCUGCAUAAGGUAGCGCAGAUGCCUCAUCGACUCACGAAGCGGUCGUACACGUUUGUAAAUGCUUGUGUACUCAAGUCCUCUGCCAGCUCAAUAUGAACUGCACGCGAUGCCAUACAAACGAAAAUGGCUGCAUAGGUUUUUGUCGUAACUGCUGAGCGCUUGCUGCCAACUCGAACUUGGAAGGGUCACAGUAAUCCAAGCCACUGCGGUAAAAUGGUGGUGCCACAAGGACACGCUUCUUUGGUAACGACGCCAUCUGUUGCCGCUGCGUAAUUUGCAGAUGUCUUCGACAUGCGGUGCACCUCCAGAUGUCAGAUUUUACCUGGGCCCGCGCACAUAUGAGCCAAAAGCGUUGUCGGAGAAACUGGAGCAUCUGCUGUAUGCCACCAUGAAAGCAGCGCUUAUGUGCAUCUGCGACCAUUAAAUCUGCUAGAGUGCCGCGUGGGACUAUGAUUUGGUGUCGCCGAUCGUUACUCAUGUCAGCGUUGGUUAGUCGGCCCCCUACUCUCAAUAUUCCAUUUUCAUUCAGAAACGGAUUUAGAGGUAGAAGUGGACUGCGACCCUCAAUUCUGGAAUUAGUACAAGUGCUUUAAUUUCCUGUUUGAAAGUAUUACCUUGUGCCUGACGAAUGUGUAGGACCAGCGCCCAGUUCGUACGUACAAAAUUUGCUGGAAUCGGAAAGGUAAAGCUAUAUGAAAUCUGAAUAGUUUAAAUUGAGACAAUAAAUAGAUUAGAGUGAAUAUUUAUUCGUUAGUCGUGCAGUUCUUCCUCCCUCAGUUUUCGCUCCGAACGUUAGCAUUUCUUCCCCUAUUACUACCAAACCCAUGCAACUAACAAGAUCACGCAAUCGGAAAAGAAUGAAAAACGUAAAUUUCUGAGCGUUUUUCGCAUCUGCCUAAAAAUGAAAACAAACAAAGAAAACGAAAAAGGCGCAGUGAUUGAGUGCCAUUAUAUUGGUAUUUAUUAUAAAAUAUAAAAAGUGAAACUUGAUAAACAUUAGCAAAAAAAAGUUCAUAAAAUAUGGUUUUAAUGAUUGAGAGUGUUUUACAACCGCAUAUUAUCGGCACCGGUCGAUUUUUCAAUGCCAACGUUCUGACCACAACUGUGCACCCACUUUUCACGCAAAUUUACGCCUCUUGACAAAUCAAACAGAUGCACAAACUUGUUCCACUCACAAAGCACUUCAUAUUAUAUCAUAAAUUUGUAAUAAAUCAAAAUUUAUAAUUAAACUCGCUGCGGAAAACACAUAAAAUCGCUAAAAUAUCACUACGAAGAGCUAGGAGACGAUGUAAACAGAACCAAAAAAUAUCAAAAACGCUACGAAAACUUUUUUCUGAAAAUCGAUUACAAAUACAACGA